CUUUCCUACGGGGGGCAGCAGUGAGGAAUAUUGGUCAAUGGGCGGGAGCCUGAACCAGCCAUGCCGCGUGAAGGCGGGUGCCCUACGGGCGUUAAACUUCUUUUGUGCGGGAGCAAUAAGGGCCACGUGUGGCCCGAUGAGCGUACCGCACGCAUAAGCAUCGGCUAACUCCGUGCCAGCAGCCGCGGUACUACGGGGGAUGCGAGCGUUAUCCGGAUUUAUUGGGUUUAACGGGUGAGUCGGGGGCGCUUCAGGUCCGC
RNAcentral lists this ribosomal RNA (260 nucleotides) under uncultured bacterium. Its description in RNAcentral is "partial 16S ribosomal RNA". It matches the Rfam family "Bacterial small subunit ribosomal RNA", at positions 334 to 592 of the family's 1533-position model. The record is from RNAcentral.